RNAcentral lists this ribosomal RNA (459 nucleotides) under uncultured bacterium. RNAcentral describes it as "bacterial SSU rRNA". It matches the Rfam family "Bacterial small subunit ribosomal RNA", at positions 54 to 513 of the family's 1533-position model. The record is from RNAcentral.
CAUGCAGUCGAGGGGUAUUCAGUUGCUUGCACUGGAGAGACCGGCGCACGGGUGAGUAACGCGUAUGUAACUUGCCUCAUUCAACGGGAUAGCCCGGGGAAACCCGGAUUAAUAUCGUAUAACAUUUGGACAGGCAUCUGUCCGGAUUGAAAGAUUCAUCGGAAUGAGAUAGACAUGCGUAUGAUUAGUUAGUUGGCGGGGUAACGGCCCACCAAGACGAUGAUCAUUAGGGGUCCUGAGAGGGUGAUCCCCCACACUGGUACUGAGACACGGACCAGACUCAUACGGGAGGCAGCAGUGAGGAAUAUUGGACAAUGGGUGAGAGCCUGAUCCAGCCAUCCCGCGUGCAUGAAGACGGCCUUAUGGGUUGUAAACUGCUUUUAUACAGGAAUAAACCAUCUUACGAGUAGGGUGUUGAAGGUACUGUAUGAAUAAGCACCGGCUAACUCCAUGCCAGCA